AGGAAGGGCAUUCCAGGGAGAGAACGGUUUGAACAAAGCUAAAGAGAGGGGAAACCAGGAGUAUGCAUGGCGUCUCGUCUCUGGCAAAUGUGAGAAUUACAUUGAUUGGUUUUCAAAUAAUGAACAAUCCCUGCAUCCCUUGGACAAACCCCACUUGGGUAUACUUCUAUUCUAUGAAUGAACAAAGUCUUUAUUUUAAAAAGGAUCGAAACUAAGAAAUGACAAGGAUUCUACAAACAUCCUGUAGAAGACUGUUCCUGGAUUCUUGAACCACUGCCAUUUGCUGGGCUGUGAAUUGGAUAUGGUUUCUUUUAUGUUUUGCUCCUGAAUCCAAAAUACAGAUGGUAGUCAUGCUGGCUGCAGUGAUAACUGACUUUUGUAAUCUCGUAUCUCAGUGCCAAUUAUUAAAACUAGUCUUCCCUGCUGA
Suricata suricatta (meerkat) is the source of this 427-nucleotide long non-coding RNA. RefSeq lists it as uncharacterized. Lineage: Eukaryota; Metazoa; Chordata; Mammalia; Carnivora; Herpestidae. The record is from RefSeq and is a predicted model, not a curated record. The transcript is spliced from 3 exons.